This 62-nucleotide small RNA is filed under the name Caenorhabditis elegans. RNAcentral's name for it is "Unclassified non-coding RNA K08F8.14". The record is from RNAcentral. Lineage: Eukaryota; Metazoa; Nematoda; Chromadorea; Rhabditida; Rhabditidae.
UGUAGCUACUAAGAUGAAAAAGAAUUUCACAGAAAUGCUCAGAGAAAGAAAACCUUUUGUAC